CGCGAGGGGCAGGCCGAGGGUGCGGAGGUACAAGCUCUUGGAAGAGGUGAUCACUACUAGCUAGCUAGCUAUAUUAAUUACUAUAUAUAUAUAAAGAGAGAGCCAUUACAUGUACAACCAUGCACACAUAUAUAUAUAUAUAUAUAUGCAUGCACGGUACGUAUUAUGAGUAGACAGCAAGCAGCAAGAGCUAGCUGCAAUGUUAAGCUGUUAAUAUGCCUCUUUAAUUAGUACACAGGAGGAAGUUGCUAACUGAUCAUGUGAAUAUCUUCACUCCACUUGAUCAUGGGUUAACGAAGAGUGUUCUCAGAGAUGAGUAGUGUAUAUAUAUGUGUCUUUAUGUGCAUAUCUCUUAAAUUUCAGUAUGCUGGAGAAGAAAGUUUUUUAGUUAAAUAAUUAAUGAACAGCACUUGCUGUCUUGAGCUUAAGCAAAAAAAAAACAAUUAAAGAG
RNAcentral lists this long non-coding RNA (451 nucleotides) under Oryza brachyantha (malo sina). RNAcentral's name for it is "long non-coding RNA (OBRA_LNC000708)". Lineage: Eukaryota; Viridiplantae; Streptophyta; Magnoliopsida; Poales; Poaceae. The record is from RNAcentral.